Non-coding RNA from Oryza glaberrima (African rice), 208 nucleotides. The record is from Rfam. NCBI's taxonomy places the organism in Eukaryota, Viridiplantae, Streptophyta, Magnoliopsida, Poales, Poaceae.
AAUAAGUGCAGUUUUGCACUAUUCACAUUCAACGUUUGAUUGUUCGUCUUAUUUUAAUUUUUUUUAUAAUUAGUAUUUUUAUUGCUAUUAGAUGAUAAAGCAUGAAUAGUAUUUUAUGUGUGACUAAAUAUUUUCAAAUUUUUCACAAAACUUUCAAAUAAGACAGACGAUCAAACGUUGGGCACAGAUAUCCACGACUGCACUUAUU